RNAcentral lists this long non-coding RNA (889 nucleotides) under Capsicum annuum. RNAcentral describes it as "long non-coding RNA (CANN_LNC017290)". The record is from RNAcentral. Lineage: Eukaryota; Viridiplantae; Streptophyta; Magnoliopsida; Solanales; Solanaceae.
UCAAAAAAAACUUCAUAAGUAAGGUCAAUGUCCUCAUCACUUCUUUCUUCAUCUCUCUCUUCAUUUUGGACACCUAUAAAAGAGAAUAAAUAAUCUCAAUUAGUACUUAAAUGACAACAUAUUUUCAUUUAGAACACACCGAAAAACAAGGAUUCCAAUAAGUAAAGAGUCAUUGCAUUACAAGUUUUAGCAAUCAGCUAAAGGUGAUGUUAUACAACUCAAAAAUAACCUUUGAAGAUCUCUCACCCAAACCUUUAUCGACUAGCUGUGAACAUAUGAGUAAGAAACUAUCAACCGUUGAUUAUUAUUCCUGUGGCAUGUUUGAGCUUUCAUUUACUUUUCUAUGCAAAAGAAAAAAUGAGAUCACUUGUAUGAAUCGUGACUAUAGCAUUCAUGUUCUCAUUUAUUGAACCAAUAUCUUCUAUCAGAUGCGUAAUAUAUUUUUCUAUAUAAUACUGUACGGGAGAAUCCAGAAGGUGACCAACAAUAACCAACAAUCCAGUUUUAAGACAAAAGGAAUUAGCUUUUAAACCAAGUGAACUGAAUAUAGCAUAAAGGAAAGGAGUACAUGUAACGAUAACAUGAACUGAAGUAAGCAACAUUUAUGAACAUUGGAGACUCACCGUAGAGAAAAGUGUUGGCAGUUUCCUUCCUUUUUGAUCGGCAUAGGAAUAUUAAGAUCAAUAGAUAUUGAUUCAACUUGUCUAAGCCCACCAAAUGAUUUAGCCACAGGAGUACCAGAAUCAUUUCUAAGAGUAUUAUCUUCCACUACCAUGUUAAUUUUGUCCAUGUAAAAAGGAUAACAACUAAAAGUCAUCAUAAAAAGAAUUCAGUCAGAAACUCACAGAAAAAUAGAAGUACUGCAAACGGCUACAUUAUUCAGAAAAAG